Molecule: long non-coding RNA, 1015 nt
Filed under: Papio anubis (olive baboon)
Lineage: Eukaryota; Metazoa; Chordata; Mammalia; Primates; Cercopithecidae
Description: lncRNA (ENSPANG00000038366.1)
Source: RNAcentral
CACACCCAGGAAAUUCCGAGGAGAACGUGAGCCGUCAUGCGAGGACUUCUCAGAAUGACAGACCCAGACAGUCUGCCCCUGGAGACAGCAGCAAGGAGAGGAUGCGUGGAGAAGAAUUGGAAGACACAAAGAAUGAUCCAGAGUGUGGAGUGGAAGAGGAGGAUGCCAGGCUGGCGGGGUAGACACCGGGCAAGCUUACAAGGUCCAGUCCCUGACGUCUCCAGACGCCCAUCUGGGCCGGGUCCGGAGGCCUGCCUGGGCUCCCAGGUUUCGGGUCUGAGACUUGUGUGGCCGGGAGUGCACCUUCCCCAGGGAUCUUUGAGGGGCCAGUGACCCCGCAGGCCCCACAUACCUCUGAGGUGGGCUCAGGCUCUAGAAUGCCUGAGAACAUGCUGCGCUUAGCAUGCGACACCAUGCAACAGUGAGGAAAUAUUUCCCUAAGUUAAUUGUUGAUAGUUCCUAAACAUUUCAGAAGCUUACUUGUUAAAACUAAUGUGGCUUCUGCUUCUCAGGAUAACUUGGUGGGACUUCACCGGAACCACAGGGAUGUUUUACUGAAUGUACCUCUUUCCAUAUAGAAGUUUAAAGAUGCUCAGGAAGGGGCCACACCCAUUCCAUCUGGGCUGUAGAAACCCAUUGCAAGUUUGCACAUGCCAGCCUUGCUAUUGCUGUGAGACCACGGGCACCAAAGAGGUUUCCAGGGGGACACGUGUCCUUUCCGGGGAGGCUUCAGCCACAUCAGAAGUGCCUUGAGGGCAGGGGCAGGGGCUGGAUGGUGCCUACUGCAGAUCUGGAGCUCUUUUCUGGCCUGGUAUACAGGAGGUGCUCAGAGAGGGCUCUGCACAGGCUUCAGCCAUCAGCUUAGAUGGGAAGCACCAGGUAGGAAUUGGGCAGAUGGUGCUUCUAGCACAUGGUGGCCUUGAGUGGAAAAGCUUGUGGUAGUAAAAGUAACUAAAAAUGACAACCUGGCUUGAAUGUGACGUUGACCUCCCCAUUCUCAAAUACUGAUGGAGCC